UCCCCGCCACUGCCACCGCAGUCUGACAGAAGAGCGAGCGAGGUUGUAUCAUGGCGAGCAACAGGUCGUUUACUGGGAAGAAGAUUUGGUGUUGAUGGAGGAGGCAACAUCUUAAAGGCAAAACCUUAGACCUCAUUCAACAUCAUCCAAUGUUGCAAUCACCCUCAGGAGGCACUUGAAGACCAGUGUCCAAUAUGUACAUUUCCAGUGUCAGAAGUAGAGCUGCCAUGCCAGCUUUUGUGGAGAAAGUGAGGAGGAUGCGAUUCGUCAUGCAGCAGCACAGACAAUCUGUCACGAGAUAACAUGUCUAAAGUUGUGGAAACGUCAAAAAACAGGAAGCCCUGUCAAUCCCUUGAAAAUCACCUUCCUUGGAGAGUCUGUGUUUUUAAGCUUCAAUGUGAGUCACUGUUACCAUUACCUUUCUCCACAAAAGCUGGCAUGGCAGUUCUACUUCUG
Sinocyclocheilus grahami is the source of this 456-nucleotide long non-coding RNA. RefSeq lists it as uncharacterized. The record is from RefSeq and is a predicted model, not a curated record. Lineage: Eukaryota; Metazoa; Chordata; Actinopteri; Cypriniformes; Cyprinidae. The transcript has 5 exons.